Molecule: non-coding RNA, 151 nt
Filed under: Homo sapiens (human)
Lineage: Eukaryota; Metazoa; Chordata; Mammalia; Primates; Hominidae
Source: Rfam by way of RNAcentral
GCUAGACAUGGUGGCCCAUGCCUGUAGUCCCAGCUACUCAGAGGCUGAGGCAGGAGGAUCACUUCGGUCCAGGAGUUUGGGGCUGCAGUGAGCCAUGAUUGCACCACUGCACUCCAGCCUGGACAGAGUCCAGAGUGAGACCCUGCCUCAA